This is a long non-coding RNA of Peromyscus californicus insignis, 3900 nucleotides long. RefSeq lists it as uncharacterized. NCBI's taxonomy places the organism in Eukaryota, Metazoa, Chordata, Mammalia, Rodentia, Cricetidae. The transcript has 5 exons. The record is from RefSeq and is a predicted model, not a curated record.
UACAGAGAGGGUCAGCCACCGGACUAAGAUCACAUAGAAGUUUGGAGAAAAUGCAGGAUUGGACCUGUCUCUCUCUGAGGGGCCUUUUCUUCAGCCAUUCUGGGUGAGGUCAGCUGGUGCCUGGGCCUAGUGGGCCAGCGUGGCUGUUUUGUGUUGCUUUGGGGGGGAGGGACUUGGCCCUGCUCUGGUAGGAGGCGGCUUGCCUUUGGUUCUUUGAUGCUCUUUCUCUGGAACCCCUGGGGAAUGCCUGAGUCAUCGCUGAGCGGCAAACACAUUUAGCCUCUUUCAUCGUCCCUAAUAAAUCAACUUCUCCAUUUCUCUCAUACCUGCCUCCGACUCCAGGCUGCCUGCCCCCGUCUCCUGCCGCCCGACAUCUGGGCACUGCAGAGACUUCCAGCCCCCAGGUUCCUGGCAGUGGUCCCCUGGCCGUUUCCUCUCUCUCCCCAGGCAUUCUGGGCCAGGCAAGGCCUCCUCGUGCUGGGCUGGCCUGCAUUCAACAGCUGCGGCCCUGGAGCCCUUCAGCGCUUCCUGCACUUAGGAACUGCCUGGCAUGGAGGCGGCAGGGGAUUAGCAGCAUCCGCCCCAGCUCAGCCCUGACCCUGACCACCACCUCAGCGCCCUCUUGGCCCACAGGGGCUUGUGUUGGGGCCCAGGGAAGUUCCCCAAACAUCUUACCUCAUCCUGUCUCUCACAGGCCAGGUUGGCUGGAGGACCCCAGGCCUUUCCUGGGCUUGUAUUUCAUGGCACCUCUCUCAGGAAGCCUCCCGAUGACCUCCUUCCCUCCCUUGGUGGGCAGUCUGAGGAUCUGAAUGCUGAAGAAAUUGCUUCAGACGCGGAGAGAGUCAGCCCUUGAACCCAGGCCUCCUCCUGAGUGGCUCUCGUGGCUGCCCUUGCAGCCUCUCACAACUUGACGUGGUGCCUGGCUCAAGAACCUGCCCACCAAAGGCCUCCCUCCAGGAGGGAGACCUGGAGUUCGAGUCUUUACAGACAAGGAAAGAAGACCCCAAAGAAGCAGGAAGGUGACAGGAGGCGUUCAGUGUCCCGGCUGCUCUCACCUGAUGGCCUCAAUCCACUGGUCGCGCUCCUCGGCAUUGGCGGCUGAGAUGCGGGACAUCCAGCCCUCAGCUGCCCUAAGUAUGACCCUUGCUGGCUGUGUGACCUUGAGAAGAUGCCCUAACCCUGCCGAGUCUUGGCUUCCAGAGAAUAAACUACCCCAAAAUUGGGCUGUUCAAGGACCAGCACCUCAUGUUCAAUAGUCCUGAACAGAGGGACCCUGCUAGACUCUUCUUUCCGUCCUCUGGGAGAGAAACAGAACUGUCCGUGGAGCCUCUGUCCCCUACUGCUCCCUUACAUCCAGCCUCCCCCUGCCACCUGCACCCCCAAGACAGAUGGAUGGGUAAAAGGGUGACUGAUGCUCUCCUUUGCACUGGCUACACCCAUACCCUUGUGUGCCUUCUCCUGUGUUGCCCCAGGGCAGAGUGAGCAGGGUGGGUGCCUUAGGUUUGCACAUGGGGACACAGACACACAUCCCCACCCUCCCCGGGCACAGCAGCUGGAGUAGAGACUGCUUCAGGCGGUGCUGAUGUUGGGAGAUGCCCCUCUUCUACUUCGGUGGACAGUAGACCCUUCUAGAUCACACAUGCUGGGGCGAGGGUAGAGAAGGCCCUGGGGAGGAGGGAAUUGACUGCUUCAGGCUCAGAGGCCCCAGCAAGAGAGGUCCCCAGUGGAGUGCUGACCACAGUGUCUAUCCAGGAUGGGCUCUGAUUACAGGGGUUGGAAUGUAAAGGGUCCCCCAAGAGCUGACUUCAGUCCUCCGUGGAUAACUGUCUGGUAAAGCUGCUAUUAUACACAAGGUAUGACCCUGGAGGCUAGGGAUGGAACCUAGGUCCUUGAGCAUAUCUAGAGAAUCACUCCAGCAACUGAGUCACAUCCCCAGGUCAGCAUGGGCAUUUUAACAGCAGGGGAACUGAGUCACAAACUCAGCGGUGAUCAUAGGCUAGCUCUCUACUUACUGUAUCUUCUUCCAUUUCUUUCCUGACUCCAGAGGCUAAGAUCUGCAGAGCUGCCAGUCCCAGUGCUGGGGGAGCCCAGUGCCCCAAGGAGAUUCAAAACACUCUGGCAGGUCUGCACCCACUCCCUAGGGUAGGAGCUAUCUCAUCCUUGGCUUGCAUACCUUCCUUCCCCUGACAGAGGUCAUGGUGGCACAUAUCUAACGUGUUCCCGCUUGUUAAAGCCAAAAGGCAGUGUGCAGCCAUUACCGAUCAGUGCAUCUGGCUUUGCAGAAGUGUUUCUCAGUAUUGCAAUGGAUGAUUUCACACCUUUAUGUAUAUAUGGGUGGGUGGAUAGAUAGAUGGAUGGGUUGGUAGAUGAAUGGAUGCCUGACUCCCCUUUUUUACUGCCAUCCUGUCCUUUGUCCGGGGGUCCCCAUGGAGUACAGGCCUAAAGCUAGUUUUCCUGAGUCUACGUAGGUGUGGCUGGAGCAAGCCUUUAAUAUCCCUCGCAACCUCAUGUGGUGUGGGGGGUGAGAGAAAAGUGGGGAUCAGCUUCUCUUUGGCUGGGGUGGAGGUAGGGGUGCAUGGAUGUGGGGGUGGCAGUCUUUACCUUGGGAAUCCCCAGGUGGCCUAGCUGGUGGAAUCUGAGACAGGAAGGCCCUAGCAGGAGGUGAGCUGUCUGCUCAGACAAGUAUUAGCCAGGCCCAAGGAGGCUUCAGGGUGGCAGACGGGGCCUCAGCCUCUGCUAAACCCACAGGAGUACCUGGAAGUUUCUGCGGUCACAGUACCAUCGUGUGUAUUCCGCCUCACAGAAACAGCAGCACACCCACACUUCCUGUGUCUUGAAAACACCCUGAAGUCCCCGUCACUGAACAAACCACUGCACAGAGACCUCUCAGGGCCCUGGGUGUACAGCAUGGCCUUCUUUUCCCUGGGGCUCUGGUGCCCUGUCCCAGGAUCCCUUCUCCUCUCUUUUCUGUCUAGGUUGUUCAGUGUGUUGGGCACCCUCCUCCAUCCCCAGGUUCCGGGAGGGGACAGUGACUCCGCUUUGGCUGUGUAGAGCCUUGCAUCUUAUGUGCUACAGGGGCUAGUUUAGAUAGAAACACGUGACCCCAACCAGUCACUAGGACUUAAUUCCAGGGGUUUAAUUUUUCCGGGAGAAGCUAUCGGCCUAGAGCUGCUUGGGCAUCUUUGCAGUAGCCAGGGUCCAAGAGACAGCCAGUGUGCAAGUCCAGCUUGCUGUGACAUGCAGCCUCCUCAGGCCACCGAGCCCCUGGAUCUCGCCACACCCAAAGCCAACAGUCUGAAGGCAAAGGGAUCCCUUGAUAUUCUUAGAGAUAUUAGUUGUGAUUCUCCCAGUCAGUGUGGCAGGACAGAUAAGGCAUGAGGAGACAUCACAAUUUACAUACGGGGCCGGAGAGAUGGCUCAGUGGUUAGGAGCACUGGCUGCCCUUCCAGAGGACCCAGGUUCAAUUCCCAGCACCCACAUGGCAGCUCACAACUGUCUGUAACUCAGAUUCCAGUGAAUCCGACUCCCUCACAAAGAUGCAGGUCAACACCAAUGCAUAUAAAAAUAAAUUAAAAAAAAGAAUUAAAAAAAUUUACAUAUGAUGGACCAGCAAGAUGGGUCAAUGGGUAGAGGCAAUUGCUGCCUAGCUGAAGACCUGAGUUCAUUUCUUUGGAGGGAAAGAACCAGCUCCUGAAAGUUGUCCUCUGACCUACAUACAUGUACAGAACACAUAUGAGAAGACCCUCCAUCUCCAAAUGGUGGAGAAGGUGUGAGGGACCCCGAAGGAAGAGGACUUGGUGGCCUGUAGCCCUUGACUCUCAGUCCUGUCCCAGCUCUCUCGCCCACCUCCAUUCCCAGAAAUGCUUUUUCCUUCCUUAAUAAACUCUAUUUCUAUCACGA